This 136-nucleotide ribosomal RNA is filed under the name uncultured eukaryote. RNAcentral's name for it is "partial 18S ribosomal RNA". It matches the Rfam family "Eukaryotic small subunit ribosomal RNA", at positions 1299 to 1458 of the family's 1831-position model. The record is from RNAcentral.
UGGUGGAGUGAUUUGUCUGGUUAAUUCCGGUAACGAACGAGACCUUAACCUGCUAAAUAGUUACGAGAAUCUCGAUUCGUGGCUAACUUCUUAGAGGGACUGUUGGUGUUCAACCAAAGUCAGGAAGGCAAUAACA